Molecule: transfer RNA, 74 nt
Filed under: Bacilli bacterium
Lineage: Bacteria; Bacillati; Bacillota; Bacilli
Also listed under: 2 other names
Description: tRNA-Gly
Rfam family: tRNA
About the family: Transfer RNA (tRNA) molecules are approximately 80 nucleotides in length. Their secondary structure includes four short double-helical elements and three loops (D, anti-codon, and T loops). Further hydrogen bonds mediate the characteristic L-shaped molecular structure. tRNAs have two regions of fundamental functional importance: the anti-codon, which is responsible for specific mRNA codon recognition, and the 3' end, to which the tRNAs corresponding amino acid is attached (by aminoacyl-tRNA synthetases). tRNAs cope with the degeneracy of the genetic code in two manners: having more than one tRNA (with a specific anti-codon) for a particular amino acid; and 'wobble' base-pairing, i.e. permitting non-standard base-pairing at the 3rd anti-codon position.
Source: RNAcentral
GCACGAUUAGUUCAGUGGUAGAACACCAGCUUCCCAAGCUGGUUAUACGGGUUCGAUUCCCGCAUCGUGCUCCA